Molecule: transfer RNA, 87 nt
Filed under: Sphingomonas guangdongensis
Lineage: Bacteria; Pseudomonadati; Pseudomonadota; Alphaproteobacteria; Sphingomonadales; Sphingomonadaceae
Also listed under: 2 other names
Rfam family: tRNA
About the family: Transfer RNA (tRNA) molecules are approximately 80 nucleotides in length. Their secondary structure includes four short double-helical elements and three loops (D, anti-codon, and T loops).
Source: Rfam by way of RNAcentral
GGAGACGUGGGUGAGUGGCUGAAACCAACGCUUUGCUAAAGCGUCAUACGGGAAACUGUAUCGAGGGUUCGAAUCCCUCCGUCUCCG